This 436-nucleotide ribosomal RNA is filed under the name uncultured bacterium. Its description in RNAcentral is "bacterial SSU rRNA". It matches the Rfam family "Bacterial small subunit ribosomal RNA", at positions 20 to 450 of the family's 1533-position model. The record is from RNAcentral.
UGGCUCAGAGUGAACGCUGGCGGCAGGCCUAACACAUGCAAGUCGAACGGCAGCGGGUAGGAAGCUUGCUUCUUAUGCCGGCGAGUGGCGGACGGGUGAGGAGCGCAUCGGAAUCUACUCCGUCGUGGGGGAUAACGUAGGGAAACUUACGCUAAUACCGCAUACGACCUAAGGGUGAAAGUGGGGGACCGCAAGGCCUCACGCGAUGGAAUGAGCCGAUGUCCGAUUAGCUAGUUGGCGGGGUAAAGGCCCACCAAGGCGACGAUCGGUAGCUGGUCUGAGAGGAUGAUCAGCCACACUGGGACUGAGACACGGCCCAGACUCCUACGGGAGGCAGCAGUGGGGAAUAUUGGACAAUGGGCGAAAGCCUGAUCCAGCCAUGCCGCGUGGGUGAAGAAGGCCUUCGGGUUGUAAAGCCCUUUUGUUGGGGAAGAAA